UACAGAUUUUCUUGAUCCUGGUUGAACAAUGCAAGAAGUAAAAGAAUAGUAAGUCAAGAGAAGAAAAUAGAACAAUAAACUAGACUACUAAGUUUUAUUCCCAUCUAAAAUGAGCACCGAAAUAGCAAAUAUCUAGUCAUAGUUGUUCAGAAGUCAUAGCAGCAAAAAGGUCUUCAUUUGAUUACUUCAGAAUCAAAGACAAACCUUUGGACUCGAU
Molecule: unclassified non-coding RNA, 217 nt
Filed under: Hevea brasiliensis (rubber tree)
Lineage: Eukaryota; Viridiplantae; Streptophyta; Magnoliopsida; Malpighiales; Euphorbiaceae
Source: RNAcentral